Molecule: non-coding RNA, 116 nt
Organism: Triticum aestivum (bread wheat)
Lineage: Eukaryota; Viridiplantae; Streptophyta; Magnoliopsida; Poales; Poaceae
Source: Rfam
CAAGUACUCCCUCCGUCCGGAAUUACUUGUCCUCAAAAAUGGAUGUGUCUAGAACUAAAAUACAUCUAGAUACAUCCAUUUCAAUGACAAGUAUUUUCGGACGGAGGGAGUACAAG